Molecule: ribosomal RNA, 487 nt
Filed under: Hyalonema sp. CCZ 020
Lineage: Eukaryota; Metazoa; Porifera; Hexactinellida; Amphidiscosida; Hyalonematidae
Description: partial large subunit ribosomal RNA
Rfam family: Bacterial large subunit ribosomal RNA
Source: RNAcentral
AAGGUAGCAUAAUAAAUUGUCUAUUAAUUGUAGAAUAGAAUGAAGGUCAAACGAAAAUUCAACUGUCUCAAAAAACACUUGUGAAAAUAAAAAGUGUGUGAAUAUACACCCACAAACGGCAAGACGAUAAGACCCUACGAACUUUACUGAAAAUUUACAUUUUCUACAUAAAUAAACACAAUAUAAUCAAAUAUAAAUAAUACGUUUCGUUGGGGCAACGACCUUAAAAAAGUAACUAAGGUUCCAAAAAUCAUAACUAAUAAAAAAAUAAUAAAUUAAAAUUAAAUAGAAAAGAUAAAACCCAUUAAACACAUCCAAAAAAUUAAUGCAAUAAAAUAAAAGUUCCGUAGGGAUAACAGCGUAAUAAUAUUUCAAGAAAAACAACCUUAAAUAAAGAUUGCGACCUCGAUGUUGAAUUGUUGUAUCCCGAAACUAAACACGUUCAAAGGUUGGACUAUCCUUCCAUUAAAACAACACGUGAUCUGAG